This is a non-coding RNA of Triticum urartu, 3248 nucleotides long. Lineage: Eukaryota; Viridiplantae; Streptophyta; Magnoliopsida; Poales; Poaceae. The record is from RefSeq and is a predicted model, not a curated record.
AGCUGUCGAGCGAAACCCUCGCACCGCACGUCCUCCACCUCCCUUCACCUCCAGUGCCCCCUCCUCCCUCUCCAGCGCCGCCACAGCCGCCUGGGCGAUGCUCCCACCCACCACCCAUGGUUGAGGUCGGCGAAGCGGCCCAUCGCGAGGCGCCUGGGGACGCUGCCUCCCUCCGCCGCCAGCAGCGGCGACCGGCUAGCGUGCGUUCGCCGCCGCCAAAACCGGAUGGCGUGCUGUCCGGCGAGGGGCCCGACCUGUCGUCUUCGUCGCGCGUCCUGGGCCGACGGAGGGGCAGACGCCGAUGCCCACCAGCGGCGGCAUGCUCGAUCUGGAUAUUCAUCCUCGUGCCCAGCCGCCGCUCCUCGGCAUAUUCCUCUCUCCACACCGCCGCUCGCUCCAUCGCGUCACCCGCACUGCCGCUCACCUUCGCCUCGUCAGCGCCUUCUGCUGCUACUGCCGCCGGCGCGUCUCCUAGCUCUUGAACGACCAAACCAUGCAUCGCUACUCCAUGGGAUUCUAAUUUGCCUUUGCAUGCUUGCAGGUUUGAUUGCUGGACCAGCUGCUGGACGUGGAGCACUAGAUCCGGCAGGCGGUGGUGCUCUGGGGCGUCGCCCCCCUCGUCGGCGCCUUCUCGAUCACCGUGUAAACUCACAAUUAUUGUACAGAUUGAUGCUACGGCUGUACUGCAGGUGGGCAGGGGCACCUUCGGUGGCGUAGAUGGGCCUUGCCCGCGCGACAGUUGAUGAGGCUGAGUGCCGUUGGUGGCUGGGGCCUAGGCUGCUACUGCGAGCGACGGGGGACGGAGGAAGAAGGAAAGGGGGUAAUUAGCGUGAGGUUUACAGAGGACUUUUUUUUUGUAAAAAUGCCAAUGAACUAUGCUGGCGACAUUAUUUUUCGGACGGAGGGAGUACUACUUUGGUUGCAAAACUAGGAGACGACUAUUCAUAUUGUGCUGCCCUGCAAGUGAGGUUCCUUGCCCAUUAAGUAAUUUACUCUUUGGCUGCAUGUUUGGGUGUGUAGGGUUCUCACUGUUUGAACAACUUUCAAUAUUCUAAUUCAGCCGCGUGUACAGGUUUAAGAGUCAUCCUUUUAUAUGAAAAGGAAAAACACCUUUUGGUUUAACAAAAAACUUGUAUAUAUUUAGUUAGAGGCCUACUACAUUCUAGGAAGAGCUGGGCUGAUUAUGCACUAUUGUCAUUUAUUUGGUAUAUGUUAGAUUUUCUUACACAUUACCCUUAUUUUAACUAAUGAGCUUAUCAUGGCUGCCUGCCUGGCUGGUAAAGUUUCCAAACAAUAUAUCAAGAUCGUUUUUCUAUUUUUUUGGCCGCAAGACGUUACAGUCCACUUGCUAGAUAUGCACAUUCCUUCUUUAUCAAUCAAGCUUGAUUAUUAUCCAUGUUCUUUGCUUUGGUGGAUUCUUCUAUGCUUGCGUUCUUAGCCUUUCUGUUUUGGUGCAAUCUUCUAUGCUACUACCAAAGCGGCAUGUAAUAGGAUCAACAUGAUUUCUUUGCAUAUCUGCUCGUAAAAGUGGCACUAUGUCUAAGGUCAAUGAAUCAUCCAUCUCAGUUCAAAUAUUCUUAGAUGAUACGUCAAUGAUUUAUGUGGAAGAUGUAAAUUUGUCUUGAAUUGAUGGCUUUCCAGCAAAAAUAGAUGGCAGACAAUAAUGGGCACUAUUUGAGAGCCAUGCAAUCCUGUCGUAUUCUUGGUUAACUCCAGUCUUGGUUGUCAAUGCAUUGUUGUAAUCAUAUUAUCAUAAUCUGAUUGUUAUUUCUAAUACGACUACUCUUUCUAGGCUUAUGCUGAUUGUAGUCCUCUUGUGUUUGCAUUCCGUCUUACUAGAGUUCCAGUAAUAGACACAUUAUGGAAGUGGUGAGGGUCGAUGACUUGAUUUGCAUCAGUGAGAUGAAGAUAGCUGCCAUUGUAAAUGCCACUGUGCCAUAAAGCCAAGGAUUAAAGUUGUCUGCAGUGAACCGUGUCUCUGUGAGAGGAUCAUAACAAGAGGUAACACACCGCCCUUGCAUAAUAAUGUAGUAGUAUAUGGAUCAUAACAAACUGUGGUUGUGAUCAGACCUUGUAAUUUUUACCUUUCCUCCAAGAUCAUCCUCUCCUAAUAUGCCAUGUGUCGACAUGGGCUAAGCUUGCCCAUGUAAGUGUAGCUCCUCUAAUCUUAUUACUAUGUUCUGAUGAUCUAGCUUAUUUGUUGCAUCUUCAUCUUUUCACAUGGGAUUGCCUUGUGCUUAAUUUGGUCUGAUCAUUUGCUUAAAAGAUACAAGACUUGUUUCUUAGUGCUCCUUCCCCGUGUUCUCAUUGCUUUUCAGUUUGUCAAUUUGAAUAGGAUCAGUGACGUUUUGUGAAUCAAAAUUUGCCUAGGAAUCUGCAGUGUUCUCUUCCUAUCGGUACAAGAAAACCCUGCAUUUAGAAAAAAAUAUACCACCUCAUAUUUGAGGUAGGUAAAUUCAAAAUCUGACUUCGUAGCUGAAACAAUGAAAUAGGACUCAGUGAACAACUAGAGGUAACUCAUGUUUCCAUGAAACUACCAACAAAGUGCAAAACAAAUUGCUAUCUUUAGCUACCAAGAAACCUUCUGUAUGUUUUCAGUAUCUACAAAUCUUUCUUCAUUGUCGGCUAGAUAGUUUCAUGCUUAUUUUCUUCUGUAAUUAUCUUUUUAGGUCAAUUCACACAUGAUAUAACUAAUCUGCUGUAUGGCGAAUUAAUUUAGCUCUGUUUCAGGUCAAUUAUUUGUGGCAGACUUUCCCUUUCGGUUAAGUGAUAUACCCAAUAGCUGUAAAGAAAUAAAGUUGCAGUGUCGUGAUAUAUCAUUUUAUUUUUGAUUCUUUUGCCUUGUGGUGUUCAGUACUUGUGGUUAGUUGAUGUUUGUUUUCUGAUUCUAUUGGUUUCUGUUAGUAGGGUUAUCUGACAUGGUUUGCAAUGUUAGUGCUGGUCUCAAGGUUUUAUAGAAGCAUUUGUGUGUUCUCAAGCUUAGGAGUUACAAGGAGAAAUGGUACUAUGGUCUUGAACUUACACUGAUCUGUUGCUAAAGAAUGAUCCUUAGCUUAGUUACUUAGCUUGAUUUCUUUUUUCGAGGAUAGGUUUGGAGUUGUAUCCACUUUUGUCUAGGUUGGUACUUCGACCAGAAUUCUCGCAUGGCAUUAUAUGCCAAGCUCAGUUGUUGUACUUCAUCUGAUGCAUGCUGAAUGCAAACAAUUGUAUUCUUUUUCUUAUAAUAUGUGAACCAUGUACUGCAUCAA